UGAGCUUCACUUGCCCUCUGAAGAACUCGUUCACUGAAUCUUGAGCGUCUUUUAAGUUUUCAGCGCCUUCUCAAUCAACCUUUAGGUUUCACAGCACGGAUGUCAAUCACUAAUCAGGCAUUGUAAAAAGGAUGCUAAAUGUGCUAUAUGAUUAGCGCGAUCAUUGUAUUUACAUUUAUCAAAAUUCGCUGUGUACUCUGCAGGCGAAAAAACAAGUGCCGCCAUUAAGUAGUACGUCCACUUUAGACACUACAGAACGAAAAAACUCAAGACAAAGUGACAUGCAACCGUGAUGAUAUAACAUAUGCUCAGCUUGAACAAAAUUAGCAGACUAAGCACCAGAAAGUAACAAUAGAAAUCAGUUUCCAUAAUUCAAUGCACU
RNAcentral lists this long non-coding RNA (382 nucleotides) under Capsicum annuum. RNAcentral's name for it is "long non-coding RNA (CANN_LNC007638)". Lineage: Eukaryota; Viridiplantae; Streptophyta; Magnoliopsida; Solanales; Solanaceae. The record is from RNAcentral.